Long non-coding RNA from Amaranthus tricolor (Joseph's coat), 693 nucleotides. RefSeq lists it as uncharacterized. The record is from RefSeq and is a predicted model, not a curated record. The transcript is spliced from 3 exons. NCBI's taxonomy places the organism in Eukaryota, Viridiplantae, Streptophyta, Magnoliopsida, Caryophyllales, Amaranthaceae.
GCCUCCUUCCUUCCCUCCUUGCACCAGCAGCCGUCCUCCCCGCAGCCGCAUCUCUUCUUCCUCCAAACCGGCAGCAACAGCCGGCUUUUCUUUCCCCACGCAAGCAGCAGCCACAGCACACUCUCCUCCUCCCUCGCUGUGUCUCGCCAGCAGCAGCCAUGAUCGCUGCCUUCUCCACAAUCGCCAGCAGCCGCCACGGUCUAGACGCUUGGUGUUAACCGUCUAGUCUUCACUCCUUUCUAAUUACCCCAUUGUUCCCAGUUUAUAAGAGGAAAGUAGACCCCUUAGUUGGGCGAUUUUUGUAACUUGUGGUCGUGCAUUGACGCUUGCAGCAGGAGGAUCAUAGCUUGGCAUGUCAGGUAUAGGAGCUUCUUUUGCUUUGCGUUGGGGAAAGAGCGGAGUACGAUCGUAACAAUUGUGUAUAAAUCGUCUUAAUGCUUGUAGCUUCCAUGAUACUUGUAAAGUUUUCUUUUGGGGUUGUAAAAUUUCUUUUGUAUGGAGCCAUGUGACUCCUCGUAUGAUCCAUAGAUCCGCUGCGUAGUUUUAGAUGUACAGUAGGGAGAAUACUCCUUUAGUAUCCGUCAGAUCGAUGCGUUAACACUUGAACCACGAUCCUCGUUAGAGUUGAAGUUUUGUGAAGCCGACGAUGAUUUGUUCCGUCGUGACGUAUUCUUUUGAAAGGCGUUAUAGGCC